GCANGUCGAGCGGCAGCGCGGGGGCACCCUGGCGGCGAGCGGCGAACGGGUGAGUAAUGCAUCGGAACGUGUCCUCUUGUGGGGGAUAACCAGUCGAAAGACUGGCUAAUACCGCAUGAGCUCGAGAGAGGAAAGCAGGGGACCGCAAGGCCUUGCGCGAGAGGAGCGGCCGAUGCCUGAUUAGCUAGUUGGUGGGGUAACGGCCCACCAAGGCGACGAUCCGUAGCUGGUCUGAGAGGACGACCAGCCACACUGGGACUGAGACACGGCCCAGACUCCUACGGGAGGCAGCAGUGGGGAAUUUUGGACAAUGGGGGCAACCCUGAUCCAGCCAUGCCGCGUGUGUGAAGAANGCCUUCGGGUUGUAAAGCACUUUCGGCCGGAACGAAAUCGCGCGAGCUAACACCCCGCGUGGAUGACGGUACCGGAAGAAGAAGCACCGGCUAACUACGUGCCAGCAGCCGCGGUAAUACGUANGGUGCGAGCGUUAAUCGGAAUUACUGGGCGUAAAGUGUGCGCAGGUGGCCGCGCAUGUCGAGUGUGAAUCCCCGGGCUUAACUUGGGAAUUGCGCUCGAAACUACCUGGCUCGAGUGUGGCAAAGAAGGUGGANUCCAGGUGUAGCGUUGAAUGCGUAAAUUCUGGAGAACCCGAUGGCGAAGCAGCUUCUGGGCAACACUGACGCUCUU
Molecule: ribosomal RNA, 687 nt
Filed under: uncultured Nitrospira sp.
Lineage: Bacteria; Pseudomonadati; Nitrospirota; Nitrospiria; Nitrospirales; Nitrospiraceae
Description: bacterial SSU rRNA
Rfam family: Bacterial small subunit ribosomal RNA
Source: RNAcentral